RNAcentral lists this long non-coding RNA (740 nucleotides) under Olea europaea subsp. europaea. Lineage: Eukaryota; Viridiplantae; Streptophyta; Magnoliopsida; Lamiales; Oleaceae. The record is from RNAcentral.
UUGACGUGGGCCAAGCUCCUGGAAUAUUAUCUCCGGCACCGGCAACUCUGCCACCCAUAUCGCCAGGAUUCUUCUCUCCGGCUCCGAUGGAUCCGUUUAUGUUGGGGUACAACAUGUUCAUACCAAGCCCAUCAACCUUGUUUUCAGCUCCAAUGGUGUCUCCUUCACCCUCUUCUUCUUUCGAUCUCUUCAAUCCAUUUGACUUUUAGCCAAUAGAAAGUCAUUUUUCCAAUUUUUUAUUUUUAUUUUUAUUUUUAUUUUUUUUAAUUUCUAAUUAUUUGAUGCGUGCUUUUCUAGAGAAAUUUUCUAGAGAGAGAAGAUAUGCUUUGUGGAAAAUUGAAACUAGAGGUGGAGGUGGGGUAGACCAAUUUUUUAUUUAUUUUGUAUUUUUUUGGUUUUAUAACGGAUUAAUUUGUUAGGAUACAUGUAUUUUGACCUAACUAUCUAAUGUUAAGCAUUUGAUUUUUCUUUCAAGAGAAGUCGUCCGUCAACUUUGGUAUACUAAUCGUUUUCAUAUUAAAUGGUUAUUUUAAUGAGAAAAUUAUGUAAUGGACCACAAUUAGCUGUCUAAUUUUGCAAGUAUACUAUAGAGUGGUUACUAAAAUAUCGUUUUUUAGAUGACUUUUAACUUAAAGUCGGUCUAUAUGUACAGGAGAAAAAUUUACAGAAGUGUUACAUAUUACACAUAACAAUAGGUGCGUAGUUUAUCUUAUGCAAUAAAAUAUUUACAUGGGCUCACC